RNAcentral lists this long non-coding RNA (204 nucleotides) under Carica papaya (papaya). RNAcentral's name for it is "long non-coding RNA (CPAP_LNC007735)". The record is from RNAcentral. Lineage: Eukaryota; Viridiplantae; Streptophyta; Magnoliopsida; Brassicales; Caricaceae.
ACCUUCUAUGUGAUCUCCCAGAGCCCAUGAGCUUCCAUAUGAUCUCUCAUACGGCCGUGAGCUUCCAUGUGACCUCUCAUAUGGUCAUGAGCUUCCAUGUGACCUCCUAUAUGGUCAUGAGUUUCAUGUGAGCUUGACUUUUAUUUUAGUUGUGAACUCUCGUGUGUCCUUGAGCUCUUAUGUGAGCUUGAGUUGUAUCUAGGC